CCUAUUGGUUUUCUACAUAAUUUAUUCGUAUUUCUCUGAGUGUUGAUUAUUGCAAUAGUGCUAAUACGUUUGCGCAUCGACAGGUGAACGCAACAAACUAAUCAAUGAGCCACUCGGCGGAUAUACAAAGCACCCCGUGCAGCUUUACAAUGGCGCCACCUGCUGGCUGAGUGGAAUAAGACUGCGUAACAAUCCAAAAGAAUGGAUGAAAGAAUGUGAAAUCUGUACAGACAGCUGCCAGAGAUCAAUCAAUCAAUCAAUUUGUAUAUUUGAUCAAGAGGGACAGUGUACAUUCAUGAACAUUAAAAUGUAAAUGCACCCAUUUAUAGCCAAAAGGGGCCUGUUAGGUAACAUAUGUAUUGGGAAAUUUGGACAGGGAUGUUGGACUUCUGCCUUCUAUUAUCACAUAUCCUUCUAUUAUUUUUAACAAUACUGAAAUGUAGAGAGGGCCCUUUCUGGAGAGAUUGUCUUGCAUUCUGAUUGGGUCAUCAGCUUAGCCUGAUCCACAUUUUGACCCUCUGAUGCUUUUGGACAAGCAUGUCUCAAAUGCAGUUCAUGUAUUUUUCUAUGAAACUGAAACCACCUAACACCCCAGUGAAAAACAGCUGAAUCUCUGCGUCCGCUUGUGGUUUGUGGAUGGACAGUGAAGCAAGCAGCCUGACUUACUAUGGCAACUUCAACAAGAUCAACAGUAUAUCAUAACAAUGAUGUACAGAUUAUACAACUAGAGCAAUGUUUCUGACACAUUAUCCUAUUUGAGCCAAAGAUAAGGAAGGCUCCCAAUGCAUGAUUUAUCAUCUACCUUAACGGUGGUUCAAUCUCCGUGAUCAGUGAGUGAUGAGGUGCACCUGUUAGUGAUUCAGCAGAAUGACCUGGCCAGAGGAAAGGGAAUGGGACAAAUCCAUGAGAAAAAGAAACACAGCCAAGCCCACACGAACUAAAGAUGCAGCACUCGAUUGCAUACAUUUGCAUACAACUAAAUUUGGAGCGCUGCUCCUGUUGGUGCGACGAGGGAUAACAUAUAACACAACAACAGUACAACUAGCUAAUAAAAUAGAGUUCAACAAAGUGCGGUAGUAUAGAUUGCAAGUACUUCCCUGAGGUGCUUUCCAAUAAAUACUAUCUAAUAUAAGAUAGCAGACAUAGGGAAAGGUUAAAAAUACAAUGCGAAUACAUUGCACUCACCUUUUAAAAUAAUUGUUUUCAACUUGUGAUUUAGGAUCAAGGGAUCCCAAAACUACAUACAGAGCAAUUCCUUGUGUGUUCACUUUGUCAGAACACUCACAUGCACACACAAACAAAUCCUUUUCGUCUGUUGGAAGUGAAUAAUCUGGCUGUGAUUAGUUGCACAUAGUUGGGCUGUUCUUGGUGGUGGAAAGGCUUGUGUCUCAACUUGAAUUCUUCUACACCACUGUAGAUGUUCCAGUUGCUCAGAGUUGGCUGCCUGAUGUGAUGCCUGACGCGUGCAGUUUUGAGUGGAACAAUCUACUGCCUCCCCCUUCUUAACCCGCAACACAGGGGUCAGGGGUCACCAGUUGGCUUGAUCUUGUCAGUUCUUGCUGCUUGAUGAACACAUCAAGUUCUGAACAGAAAGUUCUAUUUUUCAACCCUAUGACCUACAUUUACUCAUCGAGAGACUUAUAGCACAGAUACAGUGACAUGCAAAAGUUUGAGCACCUCUGGUCAAACGUUCUGUUACUGUGAAUAGAUAAAAAAAAAGCAUAAAGUUAAUGACACAUUUCUUUACUAUUUUUUUUUUUUUUACCAAGAUUACUUUUCUAUUUCUACCUUGUACACUUUGGGACUGACAGGGCUAUGGCCCUCAGCUUGUGCCUCUUGAGGUAAUCUAUUGUGGCUUUUGAGGUGUGUUUAAGAUCAUUAUCCUGUUGUAGAAACCACCCUCUUCAUCUUCGGCUUUGAUUGUGUGAUGUUUGCUUCCAGAAUUGGCUGAUAUCUAACGGAAUUCAUUCUUUCCUCUACCAGUGAAAUGUUCCCCAUUGCCAUUGGCUGCUUCACCAGCCCGACGCAUUACUGAUCCAGCCCUGUGCGUAAUAGGUGGAGAGGUCUUCUUCUCCUGCCCCCUUUUUUCUCCAAAUAUACCUUUGCUCAUUGUGGCCGAAGAGUUCUAUUUUCACUUGAGUCGUCCAAAAUGCGGCACUGAGACUUUUGACAAGGACCAAGAAGUUUGAUCGCAUCCCAUACCUACUGGCUCCCAGUGAAGUUAAGGAUUGAUUUAAAGAUUUUAUUGUUUGUUUUUAAGCCUGUGAAUGGCACUGAUACUUUUGACAAGGACCAAGAAGUUUGAUCACAUCAUACCUGUUUUACCUACUGGCUCCCAGUGAAGUUAAGGAUUGAUUAAAAGAUUUUAUUGUCUGUUUUUAAGCCUGUGAAUGGUCUAGCUCCAGCCUAUAUUUCAGAUCUCCUGACACCUUAUGCUCCGUGAUGGGCCUUAAGAUCCUCAAAUGAACUUUUCCUAGUUUUACCUGGGUCUAAUUUGAAAUGUAAAGGGUGAUCAAGCUUUUACUGUUGUUGGCCCUGAAUGAUAAAAUACCCUCCCAUUACACAUCAGAUCAGCUGCCUGUAUAGAAACUUUUAAAAAUAGAUUAAAAACGUACUUUCACACA
Long non-coding RNA from Clupea harengus (Atlantic herring), 2624 nucleotides. RefSeq lists it as uncharacterized. Lineage: Eukaryota; Metazoa; Chordata; Actinopteri; Clupeiformes; Clupeidae. The record is from RefSeq and is a predicted model, not a curated record.